Molecule: ribosomal RNA, 599 nt
Filed under: Cystofilobasidium capitatum
Lineage: Eukaryota; Fungi; Basidiomycota; Tremellomycetes; Cystofilobasidiales; Cystofilobasidiaceae
Description: partial large subunit ribosomal RNA
Rfam family: Eukaryotic large subunit ribosomal RNA
Source: RNAcentral
AAAAAGCGGAGGAAAAGAAACUAACAAGGAUUCCCCUAGUAACGGCGAGUGAAGCGGGAAGAGCUCAAAUUUAAAAUCUGGCAGUCUACGAUUGUCCGAAUUGUAAUCUCGAGAAGUGUUUUCCGCGUUGGCCUGUGCACAAGUCCCUUGGAACAGGGCGUCAUAGAGGGUGAGAAUCCCGUCCUUGGCACAGAUACCCAAUGCUUUGUGAUACACUCUCAAUGAGUCGAGUUGUUUGGGAAUGCAGCUCAAAAUGGGAGGUAAAUUCCUUCUAAAGCUAAAUACUGGCGAGAGACCGAUAGCGAACAAGUACCGUGAGGGAAAGAUGAAAAGCACUUUGGAAAGAGAGUCAAACAGUACGUGAAAUUGUUGAAAGGGAAACGAUUGAAGUCAGUCGUGCCUGCCUAGAUUCAGCCUUCUGGUGUAUUUCUAGGUCGGCAGGUCAGCAUCAGUUUGGGAGGGUUAACAAGGGGAUUAGGAAUGUGGCAACCUCGGUUGUGUUAUAGCCUAGUUUCGUAUUGAUCUUGCUGGACUGAGGAACGCAGUGCGCCCGCAAGGGUAGGUCUUCGGACACUUUCGCACUUAGGAUGCUGGCAUAG